UGGGGAAUAUUGCACAAUGGGGGAAACCCUGAUGCAGCGACGCCGCGUGAGCGAAGAAGGUUUUCGAAUCUUAAAGCUCUGUCCUAUGAGAAGAUAAUGACGGUAUCAUAGGAGGAAGCCCCGGCUAAAUACGUGCCAGCAGCCGCGGUAAUACGUAUGGGGCGAGCGUUGUCCGGAAUUAUUGGGCGUAAAGGGUACGUAGGCGGUCUAUUAAGUCAGGUGUGAAAGCGUGAGGCUUAACCUCAUUAAGCACUUGAAACUGAUAGACUUGAGUGAAGGAGAGGAAAGUGGAAUUCCUAGUGUAGCGAUGAAAUGCGUAGAUAUUAGGAGGAAUACCGGUGGCGAAGGCGACUUUCUGGACUUUUACUGACGCUCAGGUACGAAAGCGUGGGGAGCAAACAGG
This 403-nucleotide ribosomal RNA is filed under the name Verrucomicrobiota bacterium. RNAcentral's name for it is "Verrucomicrobia bacterium partial 16S ribosomal RNA". It matches the Rfam family "Bacterial small subunit ribosomal RNA", at positions 355 to 776 of the family's 1533-position model. Lineage: Bacteria; Pseudomonadati; Verrucomicrobiota. The record is from RNAcentral.